GAAGAAGCUUGCUAAACAGCUGAGUGAUUUAAAGCUAUCGGAUUCCUUUAGCUUUAAGUCAUGCAGCUGUUGAACAAGCUCUGGC
This 85-nucleotide microRNA precursor is filed under the name Tinamus guttatus (white-throated tinamou). Its description in RNAcentral is "mir-1781 microRNA precursor family". It matches the Rfam family "mir-1781 microRNA precursor family". Lineage: Eukaryota; Metazoa; Chordata; Aves; Tinamiformes; Tinamidae. The record is from Rfam by way of RNAcentral.